GCCAUAUCACGCUGAAACAUCGGUUCCCGUACGAUCACCGAAGUUAAGCAACGUCGAGUCUGGUGAGCACUUAGAUGGGUGACCGCUUAGGAAUACUAUGUGCUGUAAG
Non-coding RNA from Acanthosepion pharaonis, 109 nucleotides. Lineage: Eukaryota; Metazoa; Mollusca; Cephalopoda; Sepiida; Sepiidae. The record is from the annotation of a GenBank genome assembly.